Molecule: ribosomal RNA, 447 nt
Filed under: uncultured bacterium
Lineage: Bacteria
Description: partial 16S ribosomal RNA
Rfam family: Bacterial small subunit ribosomal RNA
Source: RNAcentral
AACGAACGCUGGCGGCAGGCUUAACACAUGCAAGUCGAGCGCCCCGCAAGGGGAGCGGCAGACGGGUGAGUAACGCGUGGGAAUCUACCCAUCCCUACGGAAUAGCUCCGGGAAACUAGAAUUAAUACCGUAUACGCCCUACGGGGGAAAGAUUUAUCGGGGAUGGAUGAGCCCGCGUUGGAUUAGCUAGUUGGUGGGGUAAAGGCCUACCUAGGCGACGAUCCAUAGCUGGUCUGAGAGGAUGAUCAGCCGCAUUGGGACUGAGACACGGCCCAAACUCCUACGGGAGGCAGCAGUGGGGAAUAUUGGACAAUGGGGGCAACCCUGAUCCAGCCAUGCCGCGUGAGUGAUGAAGGCCUUAGGGUUGUAAAGCUCUUUCACCGGGGAAGAUAAUGACGGUACCCGGAGAAGAAGCCCCGGCUAACUUCGUGCCAGCCGCCGCCGUAA